Molecule: ribosomal RNA, 340 nt
Filed under: Ameerega hahneli
Lineage: Eukaryota; Metazoa; Chordata; Amphibia; Anura; Dendrobatidae
Description: partial 12S ribosomal RNA
Rfam family: Bacterial small subunit ribosomal RNA
Source: RNAcentral
CGGGCCCUUACAUUUCGCCCCUUCCUAUAUCCACCUAGAGGAGCCUGUCCUAUAAUCGAUGAUCCACGUUUAACCUCACCAUUUUUAGCUUAUUCAGUCAGUAUACUUCCGUCGUCAGCCUACCACUUGAGCGUUAGUGGGCUUAAUGUUUUUUCAACAACACGUCAGGUCAAGGUGCAGCUAAUAAAAUGGAAAGAGAUGGGCUACAUUUUCUAAUCUAGAGCACACGAMAGACUACUGAUGAAAACUAGUCGGAAGGCGGAUUUAGUAGUAAAUAGGAACCAAAAAGUCCUUUUUAAUUCGGCCMUGGGGUGUGUACACACCGCCCGUCACCCUCCUC